Molecule: transfer RNA, 70 nt
Filed under: Helotiales sp.
Lineage: Eukaryota; Fungi; Ascomycota; Leotiomycetes; Helotiales
Description: tRNA-Cys
Source: RNAcentral
GUUUAUGUUGCGGAUGGUUCUGCGUUUUGAUUGCAGAUCGAAGAUAAGGGGUUCAAUUCCUCCAUAAACC